GUGCUUGCUUCAGCAGCACAUAUACUAAAAUUGGAAUGAUAACAGAGAAUAUUGUUAUCACAACCCUGCACAAGAAUGAUCAAAUUCGUGAAGUGUUCUAUAUUUUU
Saimiri boliviensis boliviensis (Bolivian squirrel monkey) is the source of this 107-nucleotide small nuclear RNA. Lineage: Eukaryota; Metazoa; Chordata; Mammalia; Primates; Cebidae. The record is from Ensembl.